AGAUUGAACGCUAGCGGGAUGCUUUACACAUGCAAGUCGAACGGCAGCGCGGACUUCGGUCUGGCGGCGAGUGGCGAACGGGUGAGUAAUAUAUCGGAACGUGCCCAGUAGCGGGGGAUAACUACGCGAAAGCGUGGCUAAUACCGCAUACGCCCUACGGGGGAAAGGGGGGGAUUCUUCGGAACCUCUCACUAUUGGAGCGGCCGAUAUCAGAUUAGCUAGUUGGUGAGGUAAAGGCUCACCAAGGCGACGAUCUGUAGCUGGUUUGAGAGGACGACCAGCCACACUGGGACUGAGACACGGCCCAGACUCCACGGGAGCAGCAGUGGGGAAUAGUUGGACAAGUGGGGACGAAAGCCGUUAGAC
RNAcentral lists this ribosomal RNA (366 nucleotides) under uncultured soil bacterium. RNAcentral's name for it is "bacterial SSU rRNA". It matches the Rfam family "Bacterial small subunit ribosomal RNA", at positions 26 to 387 of the family's 1533-position model. The record is from RNAcentral.